RNAcentral lists this long non-coding RNA (2948 nucleotides) under Monomorium pharaonis (pharaoh ant). Its description in RNAcentral is "uncharacterized LOC118644473". Lineage: Eukaryota; Metazoa; Arthropoda; Insecta; Hymenoptera; Formicidae. The record is from RNAcentral.
GUUAAUUAGUAUUAUUUUAUUUACUUAAAUUUAUACAAAAUUUUAUUUAACUAAGUUUUCUUAUUAAAUAAAACUUGACAUAAAUAUAAAAAAACACAAAAAUAAUUAAGGAGAUGCUAUAUAUAGACAAAUUUUCAUACUUUGCUUUUUUAAAAGAAGCAGUACAAAAAUUAUUUUUUAAAUUAGUUUCUAUUUUUUUACUAUUAUUUUUUUUAUAUCAAACAAAUUUGACAAAAGAAAGGAAACUAAUUAUAAACAUAUAUGGACAUAUAUAUAUUUAUAUGUUUUUAUGUAAAACAUUUUUUCCCGCGAUGUUUAUAUCUACUUACUUAUGUGUCCUUAUUCUGCUCAUAAAAUUAUAAUGCUAACUGUAACCUAUUCCUAUUCAAUUUUGAUUUAUAAAUAUAAUAAUAAUUUGAAAAUGAAUUAAGUAUUAUAUCAUUUAAAUGCAAAAAGAAUAUAUUUGCAUUUUGAUAUUAUAAUAUUAAAAUAUAAUAAGUCAACCGCGGAAUUAUUUCAUUCUUAUUGUUUAUCAAAUAUUAAACAAGGACAAAUGACGCUUACGAGCAUUGUGAGCGUUAAAUGGAACGUAAUGGUUAUUUAAGAGGAUCCUAACGUCGUCUGUUUUAUGGACAUUUUUUAAAUGAACUAAUCUUUUAAUUGGCUUUGUAAAAUCGCAAAAUUCUUUUACAUAAUUAAAAUACGUAUCAAGAUCUAAAGGAAUGCGGUCGAGUUGAUCAAAAAAAUUUAUUUUUGGUACGUAGAGUACCAAAAUGCAGUCACUUGAUGACAAUAUUCGCAUAGUAUACAAAAUUUACGAUAUAUAUGUCCAAAAUGAAAUCGUAUUCCUCUAGGGAUAACAUACGAACAAUGUCGUGCAAUUCAAAUUAAGAUUAAAAGUCUAGAAAAAAAAUAUUAGCUUCUUUAAUUUUUUAUCAUUGCAAAUCCAAAUAUAGGCUAAUAAAAAAAGCAGUCUGAAAAACAUUUUUUUGUUUCCUGGUGUAAAAUUUAGUUCAUAUAAUGAUAUUAAUACGUGUACUUUAAUUCUGGAAUAGGAUUUCCAAAUCUAUAAAAGAGAUACAUACGAAAUCUUGUUAAUGACAUGUAUGAGUGACUCUACGACAUAUCAAUCCCGACCAAGUUUGACGGACCCUUUAGUAUUUCACUUAAAUGCUAUUUACCUAUAAACAUGUUAAGAUAGAGGAAUGAAACCUAAGAUAGUGGUUGUUCUUCACAAAAAAAAGAUAGAAUAAAUUAGUAGAAAAUUUUUCUCUCUGACAUCCAUUAGGUUAGAGAGAGACGCUAUUAAUUCAUUCCUUCUUUCUCUUUGUAGAGAGGAUUCUUCCGCACCUUAUAAGCAAUCUAUUUUAAUAUGCUAUGUAUUCACCUAUUAAAAAAGAAGGGGGAGUUAUAAUUUUUAUUUUGUUUUAUUUAAAUAGCUUAGUAAAUAUUUAUGUGUCAUAUAAUUCUAGUUGGUAGAGUAGACCAGUGCUGAAAGUAAUAAUUUGAGAUAGAUUUUAUAGCGAUUAAAAUAUAAUAUUUAUAUAACAAAAAAUUGUCUUUAGAUUGGAUGGGCCUACUAGUGGAAUAAUACCUUUGUUCAGAGGUCCUCAAAAUAUACAGAUUGAUCCUACAGAAUUACGUCGAAUUAAAGUUAAUAUUCAUAGGAAUAUUCCUUCAAAAGGAUCUGUUAUCGAACUAGAGAGAGAUAUACUUAAUCCUGAAGAUGUAAUCGUCAAGAGAAGAGAGGAUAAAAUGUUACACUUUUCUAAAAUCUUUGUUCUUUUAAAUCCUUAUUCUUUGCAGAAACUUAAUUAUUAUCUAGCAUUGCAAUGAGUGAAAAGUUAUGUUACAGAUAAGAUGGCAAUUAUCUGCAGUAAAUAACGAUAAUGUUUAUUAUAUUAAUAGCACAAUUGUUUUGUUCUAUUGACUAGAAAUUGAUGCAUUGAUAGAUUUUUUCUUUAUGCAUAUGAAAAGUUUACUAUAAAAAUCGAACUUCAUGAAGAUAACAUCUAUGAAAAUAAUACUUGUGAACAUGUUUUCAACAGAGGAAGAUGUUCUUACACAUUAUUUUGAUCUGUGAGUUUUCCAUGAAGAUAUAAGGAAAUAUAAUCAUGAGUACUACAAAAGGAAGAAAAAAAUGAUAAAAGUAACUCUAUAAUAAAGGUAAAAUAAACUUUUCAUGAUUCACUUGGACGAGCGGAAAAUUGAAAAGAUGUCAAAAUACAGGUACAAAAAUAUUUUUUAAUGAUUGGUUUUUAACUUUUAACUGGUAUUUUAUAGUCCUAGUUUAUGUAAAUUUUUUUUCUCCAAAUUAAUAUUAUUUUAAUUUUAAUUGUUUGAUGUUUUUAUUUUUUUAGACAAAAUAUUCUCUAACUUUUUUAACGUUAUCUGAAUAUAAUAAAAUUAUUCAAAAAGUUUGUACUUCAAUCUAAAAAUUAAAUUAUAAAUUAUUAUUACUCACAGUGAUUAUAACUUAUAAAUUAUAAUCACUAAUAAAGAUCCUAUGUUGUUUUGUAUGUAAUAAAAGAAUUACUAGUUACAGGUUAAAAUUUAUUUUAUACUUGUAUUUAAGGGGAUGCUGGAAUUGUCUGUUUUAUCAACAAAAAGAUAGUAAUUUUUAUUUAACAAUAUCUUUUUAUUUCUUUUAUAGAUUUGGAAAUCCUUCUCCAGAAUAAAAGAAUACGCAUUGCUAUUAAUCUGUGGAGUGGAAUUUCCUCCAAAAACGAGAAAAAAUUGUUAAUUUGCUGUCACAUCAUAACAAUAUGUUUGCUUAAUAUAAAAGAUCUACAGUUUGCACUUACGAAAUUCGUAUUCACAGACUAGUAGUAGACGACGAGAAUAAACAGUGUCGAGUUUCGAAAAUUAGAUUUUAAUGCCUAAUUGAGACGAAAUUGUGAAACGAAAAUUUAGGUUAUAUACGCGUAAAAAGUCGAUAAGUAGAGCAA